Long non-coding RNA from Diachasma alloeum, 373 nucleotides. RefSeq lists it as uncharacterized. The record is from RefSeq and is a predicted model, not a curated record. The transcript is spliced from 3 exons. NCBI's taxonomy places the organism in Eukaryota, Metazoa, Arthropoda, Insecta, Hymenoptera, Braconidae.
UUUAAAACCGCUGAAGAAUGGGGCAAAUUGUCAGUGCUCCGUCAGAUUCAAACCUGAUAAGUUUGUUGAGAGAAUCUUCAUCAUGUUUGCCGUGCAGAAGGUGCUUCUGUUGUUGACGCUUUGUGUUGCUGUGGCCACUUCUUUCAGUCUCUGUUGGAUGAGUGAAAACUGUUCUAACGAGUGUCAAGCGUCAUCUACCCCUGUGUGUGAUUUCUUCAUCUGUAGAUGCAAAUCUGCCACCAAUCCCGACGAUUCCCCGAAUACUACUGACGCGUGACGUGCAGACGGCGGAGUUAUGACGAGGUGCAUCGAUCCUGGACGCAUAAUUAUAUUGUAAAAAUUGAAUAAAUAUAGAGGUUCAAAAAAUUUGGAA